GAUGAACGCUGGCGGCGUGCCUAAUACAUGCAAGUCGAACGGACGACUUCGGUCGUUAGUGGCGAACGGGUGAGUAACGCGUUGGUGACCUGCCCCGAAGCGAGGGAUAACAGUCCGAAAGGGCUGCUAAUACCGCAUAAUUUAGUGGGAGAUUAGAAACCUGCUAAGAAAGCCGAAAGGCGCUAUGGGAGGGGCCUGCGUCCCAUCAGCUAGUUGGUAAGGUAACGGCUUACCAAGGCGAUGACGGGUAGGGGACCUGAGAGGGUGGCCCCCCACAAUGGAACUGAAACACGGUCCAUACACCUACGGGUGGCAG
RNAcentral lists this ribosomal RNA (316 nucleotides) under uncultured Chloroflexota bacterium. RNAcentral's name for it is "bacterial SSU rRNA". It matches the Rfam family "Bacterial small subunit ribosomal RNA", at positions 28 to 351 of the family's 1533-position model. Lineage: Bacteria; Bacillati; Chloroflexota. The record is from RNAcentral.